Molecule: ribosomal RNA, 253 nt
Filed under: uncultured bacterium
Lineage: Bacteria
Description: partial 16S ribosomal RNA
Rfam family: Bacterial small subunit ribosomal RNA
Source: RNAcentral
UACGUAGGGUGCGAGCGUUAAUCGGAAUUACUGGGCGUAAAGCGUGCGCAGGCGGUUUUGUAAGCCCGAUGUGAAAUCCCCGGGCUUAACCUGGGAAUGGCAUUUGGGACUGCAAGGCUCGAGUGCGGCAGAGGAGACUGGAAUUCCUGGUGUAGCAGUGAAAUGCGUAGAUAUCAGGAGGAACACCGAUGGCGAAGGCAGGUCUCUGGGCUGACACUGACGCUCAUGCACGAAAGCGUGGGGAGCAAACAGG